This 46-nucleotide non-coding RNA is filed under the name Schistosoma margrebowiei. The record is from RNAcentral. Lineage: Eukaryota; Metazoa; Platyhelminthes; Trematoda; Strigeidida; Schistosomatidae.
GCACUGCUGAAGAGUCCCAUACUAGGAUGAAACCGACGUCCAGUGC